This 246-nucleotide unclassified non-coding RNA is filed under the name Hevea brasiliensis (rubber tree). The record is from RNAcentral. Lineage: Eukaryota; Viridiplantae; Streptophyta; Magnoliopsida; Malpighiales; Euphorbiaceae.
UUGCGGGUAUGCGGGUCGAGACCAUCCGCGUUCUUGACCAGAUCAUUCGCGGUCUGCGUUGUCAGCAGAUAGGCCUGCAUUACAAAAUCAAAAAACUGAUUGGUCUUCCAUUCCGUAUCCUGAAAGCGCUUGUCACGCGGCGAUGGAUCGGCGGCGCGCGUCGUUGCUUCUCCGGACAAGCGGCGUGCAGCGCUUGUCAUCAGAUCCAGAUAAGCCUUGCCCAGCUUUGCCUGAACGCUGGCGGCG